UUUUGUUUGUAAAAUGGGUGUAAGUAGUCGGAGGAGGACGACAUUCCACUGAUCAGUGUGGUUGGAAUGCCUGUUUGCACCAUCAGUAUAUAUCAGCACUCACUCCUGCAACCUGUGCUAUCAAUUCAGGAGAAUACAGCCGAGCAUAUGAUGUCAGCUGCUGCUUUGUAUUGCACGGCAGUUUACAAGACAGGCUCAUACAGACACAAGCUGGAGGAACAGACUUCAUGUGCAGCUCAACAGCUGGACUGCUGGCACCUGAUUGGUAGUCGCUUGUGUGCGAUGAGACCCUGUCACCCCAGCGUCCAUCUUCUCCUGUUUACAAAAUUCUACUGUCAAAUAAUAUCCAAUAAUGAGUGUGCUGGAGUCAGGAGACACCCUGUCAAAUAGCUGGUCAUUGGGUCAGGUGGAGCAUUGAGUACUGUGAUCUCAGUCUGAAUGUAUUAAAAAUCUAAUGUGAACAGA
Long non-coding RNA from Anguilla anguilla (European eel), 465 nucleotides. RefSeq lists it as uncharacterized. The record is from RefSeq and is a predicted model, not a curated record. The transcript has 2 exons. Lineage: Eukaryota; Metazoa; Chordata; Actinopteri; Anguilliformes; Anguillidae.